AUUUCUUAGAAAUAAUUAAGAGUAGCUUCUGCUCAAUGUAAAAUAAAUGGCCGCAGUAUCUUGACUGUGCAAAGGUAGCAUAAUAAUUAGUCUUGUAAUUGAAGACUGGAAUGAAAGGAUAAACUAGAAAAUUUCUUUUUUGACUGUUAUUUUUAAAUUUUACUUUUUAGUAAGAAGGCUAAAAUGAUUCUUUUAGACAAGAAGACCCUAUAAAACUUUACAUAAGAUAAUUUAAUAAUUAAAAACAUGUUUUGCUGGGGCGGUAAGUGGAAAAACACCUUUAGAUUAUUAAAAUGUUAAAAUUAUAAUACCCAAAAUUUUUGAAAAUUAAAUAAGUUACUUUAGGGAUAACAGCGUAAUAUAUUUUGAAAGUUCAAAUUGACAAAUAUGUUUGCGACCUCGAUGUUGGAUUAAGUUUUCUUUGUUGUGCAAGAGUGAUGAAAGAAAGUCUGUUCGACUUUUAAAAAUUUCCA
This 473-nucleotide ribosomal RNA is filed under the name Centruroides hoffmanni. RNAcentral's name for it is "partial 16S ribosomal RNA". It matches the Rfam family "Archaeal large subunit ribosomal RNA", at positions 1908 to 2669 of the family's 2987-position model. The record is from RNAcentral. Lineage: Eukaryota; Metazoa; Arthropoda; Arachnida; Scorpiones; Buthidae.